AUGUGGAGGGUGCAAGGUUCAUGAUAUAAUUUUGAUUAAGUCUACUUUUGAGAUCACAUCAAAUUUUAAAUAUUUUGAAACAAAUUUUUUAAAACAAAGCUCCCCUUUUGUUAUAUAGAUGAGUAACAUCUCAAAAUUUCAAAAUUUUAUUCUUCACUUUAGUCAGAUUUACCAUCCAUUUGUCAAAUUUGUAAUCCAUUGCAUUUCUUCUUCUUUUUAGUUUAUUUCUUCUUUUUCUCUUUAGUAAUUAUAUUGCCUUCUCUUUCUCCCCCUUUUUAUCUUAAUCAAAAUGGUUAACAAGGGGGAACAAUUAGUCAAUUGCUCAUUCAAUCAACCAAUAAGAAGUACAAAUAAUCUAUGGAAUAUCCAUCAAUUUACCAUUCAAUCAAACAUUCAUGAGAUCAAGAAGAUGCUCAUUCAUUUCAUUUUAUAACAUUCAUAAGCAAAGAGUUUACAUAGGCAGAAGAAGCAUGUCCUUUACAAAAAAGAAAUAUAUAAAAGGAUCAGGCAAGUGCACAAAAAGUCCAAAGUGAUGAUAAUAUGUAAAUGCCCU
This 553-nucleotide long non-coding RNA is filed under the name Elaeis guineensis (African oil palm). RNAcentral's name for it is "long non-coding RNA (EGUI_LNC031828)". Lineage: Eukaryota; Viridiplantae; Streptophyta; Magnoliopsida; Arecales; Arecaceae. The record is from RNAcentral.